AUGGUCGAUAUCGAGAACCCGCCCGCUGCUCCCAGACCUAGUCCCGCCGGAGAUGCCGCCGCCGACAACAACAACGCAGCGACGGCGGAGCCCAGCCGGCACGGCUUCUGGGCGUGGAAAGAAAGGUUCAUCAUCACGUACUUCACCCACGACCCACCCGACCACGGAGACGACGACGAGGACGCCGCGGUGGACGCCGAUGAGUGUAGCAGGUUCAGUUUUCUUUGUCUAGGGGUUCUCGCCGGGCUCGCCGUUUUUGUUGGCGCCAUGCUUCUCCUAGUCUUCUUCCAUCAGCCGUCCCAAUCCACUGCUGGAUCGGUGGUCUACAUCGCCGUCCGUGUGCUCGCAAUAUCAGGCCUGUUUGUCGGGCUAUGCUGGGCAGGCUUUUUCCUUAACCUUUGUGACGGGAUGUGUGAAGGUGAUAAACAUGCAGAGGUGAUGAUAGACAGAUUUAUGUAA
Molecule: ribosomal RNA, 459 nt
Filed under: Triticum aestivum (bread wheat)
Lineage: Eukaryota; Viridiplantae; Streptophyta; Magnoliopsida; Poales; Poaceae
Description: partial small subunit ribosomal RNA
Source: RNAcentral